RNAcentral lists this ribosomal RNA (499 nucleotides) under uncultured bacterium. RNAcentral's name for it is "bacterial SSU rRNA". It matches the Rfam family "Bacterial small subunit ribosomal RNA", at positions 791 to 1297 of the family's 1533-position model. The record is from RNAcentral.
UAGUCCACGCCGUAAACGAUGAUUACUCGCUGUAGGCGAUACACAGUCUGUGGCUAAGCGAAAGUUUUAAGUAAUCCACCUGGGGAGUACGAUCGCAAGAUUGAAACUCAAAGGAAUUGACGGGGGCCCNCACAAGCGGAGGAACAUGUGGUUUAAUUCGAUGAUACGCGAGGAACCUUACCUGGACUUAAAUGUACGUUGCAUUAGAUUGGAGACAGUCUUUUCUCGGACUACGUACAAGGUGCUUGCAUGGUUGUCGUCAGCUCGUGCCGUGAGGUGUCGGGUUAAGUCCCAUAACGAGCGCAACCCCUAUCCUUAGUUGCCAGCGUUAAGUUGGGGACUCUAGCAAGACUGCCGGCGUAAGCCGAGAGGAAGGUGGGGAUGACGUCAAAUCAUCAUGGCCUUUAUGCCCAGGGCGACACACGUGCUACAAUGGUGCAUACAGAGGGUUGCCAAGCCGCGAGUGGAGCUAAUCCCAGAAAAUGCAUCCCAGUUCGGA